This 82-nucleotide transfer RNA is filed under the name Candidatus Parabeggiatoa sp. HSG14. RNAcentral's name for it is "tRNA-Tyr". It matches the Rfam family "tRNA". From Rfam's summary of the family: Transfer RNA (tRNA) molecules are approximately 80 nucleotides in length. Their secondary structure includes four short double-helical elements and three loops (D, anti-codon, and T loops). Lineage: Bacteria; Pseudomonadati; Pseudomonadota; Gammaproteobacteria; Thiotrichales; Thiotrichaceae. The record is from RNAcentral. RNAcentral also lists the same sequence under 1 other name.
GGAGGGAUUCCCGAGCGGUCAAAGGGGGCAGAUUGUAAAUCUGCUGGCACAGCCUUCGGAGGUUCAAAUCCUCCCCCCUCCA